AGGACGAACGCUGGCGGCGUGCCUAACACAUGCAAGUCGAACGGGACCAGGGGCAACUCUGGUUCAGUGGCGGACGGGUGCGUAACACGUGAGGAACAUGACUUUCGGCGGGGGAUAGCCGGCCCAACGGCCGGGUAAUACCGCGUACGACCUCUCGGGGACAUCCCCGGUUGGUGAAAGCAGCAAUGCACCGAAAGAGUGCCUCGCGGCCUAUCAGCUAGUUGGUGAGGUAACGGCUCACCAAGGCGACGACGGGUAGCUGGUCUGAGAGGAUGGCCAGCCACAUUGGGACUGAGACACGGCCCAGACUCCUACGGGAGGCAGCAGUGGGGAAUAUUGGACAAUGGGCGAAAGCCUGAUCCAGCAACGCCGCGUGAGGGAUGACGGCCUUCGGGUUGUAAACCUCUUUCAGCAGGGACGAAGCGCAAGUGACGGUACCUGCAGAAGAAGCACCGGCCAACUACGUGCCAGCAGCCGC
RNAcentral lists this ribosomal RNA (478 nucleotides) under uncultured bacterium. RNAcentral describes it as "SSU rRNA". It matches the Rfam family "Bacterial small subunit ribosomal RNA", at positions 26 to 518 of the family's 1533-position model. The record is from RNAcentral.